RNAcentral lists this unclassified non-coding RNA (294 nucleotides) under air metagenome. RNAcentral's name for it is "partial contains small subunit ribosomal RNA, internal transcribed spacer 1, and 5.8S ribosomal RNA". The stretch from base 1 to 46 matches the Rfam family "Eukaryotic small subunit ribosomal RNA", at positions 1786 to 1831 of the family's 1831-position model. The record is from RNAcentral.
AAGUCGUAACAAGGUUUCCGUAGGUGAACCUGCGGAAGGAUCAUUAUUGAAACAUUGUGAAGUUGGUUGAGCUGGCUACUCCGGUGGCAUGUGCUUACCUUCUUUCAAUACCUUCAUCCACCUGUGCACUUAUUGUAGGGUUGUAGAAGUUUGGAAAGGUGUAAAAGCCAAGUACAAGGUUCUAUGCUCUAUGUUUUUAUACACACUUAACGUAUGUUUAUGAAUGUCUUACUAGGGACUUAAUUGACCCUAUAAAAGUUAAUACAACUUUCAGCAACGGAUCUCUUGGCUCUC